CCUACGGGCGGCUGCAGUGAGGAAUAUUGGUCAAUGGGCGCGAGCCUGAACCAGCCAAGUCGCGUGAAGGAAGACGGUCCUAUGGAUUGUAAACCUCUUUUGUCGGGGAGCAAAAGACGCCACGCGUGGCGUUCCGAGAGUACCCGAAGAAAAAGCAUCGGCUAACUCCGUGCCAGCAGCCGCGGUAAUACGGGGGAUGCGAGCGUUAUCCGGAUUUAUUGGGUUAAAGGGGAGCGCAGACGGAAGGUUAAGUCAGCGGUAAAAUUGUGGGGCUAACCCUCGUAGAGCCGUUGAAACUGGUUGUCUUGAGUGCGGGAGAGGUAGGCGGAAUGCGUGGUGUAGCGGUGAAAUGCAUAGAUAUCACGAAGAACUCCGAUUGCGAAGGCAGCAUACCGGCGCGCAACUGACGUUGAUGCACGAAAGUGUGGGUAGCAAACAGGAUUAGAUACCCGAGUAGUC
RNAcentral lists this ribosomal RNA (459 nucleotides) under uncultured bacterium. RNAcentral describes it as "partial 16S ribosomal RNA". It matches the Rfam family "Bacterial small subunit ribosomal RNA", at positions 338 to 795 of the family's 1533-position model. The record is from RNAcentral.